UACAGAGGGCUCAAGCGUUGUUCGGAUUCAUUGGGCGUAAAGGGUGCGUAGGCGGCUUGGCAAGUCGGGUGUGAAAGCUCGGAGCUUAACUCCGAAACUGCAUUCGAUACUGCCGUGCUUGAGGACUGGAGAGGAGACUGGAAUUUACGGUGUAGCGGUGAAAUGCGUAGAUAUCAGGAGGAACACCAAUAGCGAAGGCAGCUCGCUGGGACGGUACUGACACUAAGGCGCGAAAGCGUGGGGAGCGAACAGG
This 253-nucleotide ribosomal RNA is filed under the name uncultured bacterium. Its description in RNAcentral is "partial 16S ribosomal RNA". It matches the Rfam family "Bacterial small subunit ribosomal RNA", at positions 524 to 776 of the family's 1533-position model. The record is from RNAcentral.